CAACAGUUACUGAACCCUAUCAAACUCCGAAUGCCAUAUACUUGUACCCCGGCAGUCAGACUACGAAUGAUAAGAUCCGUGGUCAAAAGGGAAACAGCCCAGACCAUCAGCUAAGGUCCCAAAGUGUAAGUUAAGUGGGAAAGGAUGUGGGAUUUCUAAGACAACUAGGAUGUUGGCUUAGAAGCAGCCACUCAUUUAAAGAGUGCGUAAUAGCUCACUAGUCGAGAGAUCCUGCGCCGAAGAUGUAACGGGGCUCAAACUUACCACCGAAGCUAUGGAUGUGUACUUUGUACACGUGGUAGAGGAGCUUUCUGUACAGGUUGAAGUCAUACCGUAAGGAGUGGUGGACAGUACAGAAGUGAGAAUGCUGGCAUAAGUAGCGAAAAACAAGUGAGAAUCUUGUUGACCGAAUAUCUAAGGUUUCCUGGGGAAGGCUCGGCCUCCCAGGGUUAGUCGGGACCUAAGCCGAGGCCGAAAGGCGUAGGUGAUGGACAACUGGUUGAUAUUCCAGUACCACCAUAAUGCGUUUGACAAAU
Molecule: ribosomal RNA, 536 nt
Filed under: Clostridium botulinum C
Lineage: Bacteria; Bacillati; Bacillota; Clostridia; Eubacteriales; Clostridiaceae
Description: partial 23S ribosomal RNA
Rfam family: Bacterial large subunit ribosomal RNA
Source: RNAcentral